CAGCAGUGAGGAAUAUUGGUCAAUGGGCGCGAGCCUGAACCAGCCAAGUCGCGUGAGGGAUGACGGCCCUACGGGUUGUAAACCUCUUUUGUCGGGGAGCAAAUUCCGCCACGUGUGGCGGAGUCGAGAGUACCCGAAGAAAAAGCAUCGGCUAACUCCGUGCCAGCAGCCGCGGUAAUACGGAGGAUGCGAGCGUUAUCCGGAUUUAUUGGGUUUAAAGGGUGCGUAGGCGGACUGUCAAGUCAGCGGUAAAAUACGGGGGCUCAACCUCCGCCCGCCGUUGAAACUGACGGUCUUGAGUGGGCGAGAAGUAUGCGGAAUGCGUGGUGUAGCGGUGAAAUGCAUAGAUAUCACGCAGAACUCCGAUUGCGAAGGCAGCAUACCGGCGCCCAACUGACGCUGAAGCACGAAAGCGUGGGUAUCGAACAGGAUUAGA
Molecule: ribosomal RNA, 436 nt
Filed under: uncultured Porphyromonadaceae bacterium
Lineage: Bacteria; Pseudomonadati; Bacteroidota; Bacteroidia; Bacteroidales; Porphyromonadaceae
Description: bacterial SSU rRNA
Rfam family: Bacterial small subunit ribosomal RNA
Source: RNAcentral